RNAcentral lists this ribosomal RNA (717 nucleotides) under uncultured Rhizopogon. RNAcentral's name for it is "eukaryotic LSU rRNA". The stretch from base 128 to 282 matches the Rfam family "5.8S ribosomal RNA". The record is from RNAcentral. Lineage: Eukaryota; Fungi; Basidiomycota; Agaricomycetes; Boletales; Rhizopogonaceae.
UGCGGGGGAAAGGACCGAAAGUACCUAUGUCUUCAAAUACAUCUUUGUGUAGAAAGUCUUAGAAUGUUUACUAUCAUUGAGUCACGACUCUUAGGAGACGUGGGUCUUUGAGAUAAAAGUUUAUUACAACUUUCAGCAAUGGAUCUCUUGGCUCUCGCAUCGAUGAAGAACGCAGCGAAACGCGAUAUGUAAUGUGAAUUGCAGAUCUACAGUGAAUCAUCGAAUCUUUGAACGCACCUUGCGCUCCUUGGUAUUCCGAGGAGCAUGCCUGUUUGAGUGUCAGUAAUUUCUCAACCCCUUUCAAUUAAGUUUGAAUGGGAGCUUGGAUAGUGGGGGUUUGCAGGAAACUUGGAUAUUUUCUUUAACUAGAAAAAGUCUAGGAUUCGAGCUCUCCUGAAAUACAUUGGCUUGCGGGUCUACUUUCGACUUUGUGCGAUAAGGCUUUCGGUGUGAUAAUGAUCACCGUAUGCUGAAGUGCAUAACUGUAAAGUUCCGUGCCUCUAAUAUUGUCGAUCCUAUCCUUAUAGGAUGGAUCUUCCUUAUAUGACAUUUUGACCUCAAAUCAGGUAGGACUACCCUGCUGAACUUAAGCAUAUCAAUAAGCGGAGGAAAAGAAACUAACAAGGAUUCCCCUAGUAACUGCGAGUGAACCGGGAAAAGCUCAAAUUUUGAAUCUGGCAGUCCUUUGAGGUUGUCCGAAUUGUAAUCUAGAGAAGU